RNAcentral lists this transfer RNA (87 nucleotides) under Candidatus Woesearchaeota archaeon. RNAcentral describes it as "tRNA-Arg". It matches the Rfam family "tRNA". From Rfam's summary of the family: Transfer RNA (tRNA) molecules are approximately 80 nucleotides in length. Their secondary structure includes four short double-helical elements and three loops (D, anti-codon, and T loops). Lineage: Archaea; Nanobdellati; Candidatus Woesearchaeota. The record is from RNAcentral.
GGGCGAAUAGUAUAACCUGGAUAUAAAAUCCAGAAAGUACACAGCCCUGCGGAGGCUGUAAUCAGGGUUCAAAUCCCUGUUCGCUCA